GCUCAGGAUGAACGCUAGCUACAGGCUUAACACAUGCAAGUCGAGGGGCAUCAGGAAGAAAGCUUGCUUUCUUUGCUGGCGACCGGCGCACGGGUGAGUAACACGUAUCCAACCUGCCGAUGACUCGGGGAUAGCCUUUCGAAAGAAAGAUUAAUACCCGAUGGUAUAUCUGAAAGGCAUCUUUCAGCUAUUAAAGAAUUUCGGUCAUUGAUGGGGAUGCGUUCCAUUAGGUUGUUGGCGGGGUAACGGCCCACCAAGCCAUCGAUGGAUAGGGGUUCUGAGAGGAAGGUCCCCCACAUUGGAACUGAGACACGGUCCAAACUCCUACGGGAGGCAGCAGUGAGGAAUAUUGGUCAAUGGGCGAGAGCCUGAACCAGCCAA
RNAcentral lists this ribosomal RNA (381 nucleotides) under uncultured Bacteroides sp. RNAcentral describes it as "bacterial SSU rRNA". It matches the Rfam family "Bacterial small subunit ribosomal RNA", at positions 22 to 395 of the family's 1533-position model. The record is from RNAcentral. Lineage: Bacteria; Pseudomonadati; Bacteroidota; Bacteroidia; Bacteroidales; Bacteroidaceae.